AACGAACGCUGGCGGCAUGCCUAACACAUGCAAGUCGAACGAGACCUUCGGGUCUAUUGGCGCACGGGUUCGUAACGCGUGGGAACCUGCCCUUAGGUUCGGAAUAACUCCCCGAAAGGGGUGCUAAUACCGGAUAAUGUCUUCUGACCAAAGAUUUAUCGCCUUUGGAUGUGCGCGCGUUGGAUUAGCUAGUUGGUAGGGUAAAAGCCGACCAAGGCGACGAUCCAUAGCUGGUCUGAGAGGAUGAUUAGCCACACUGGGACUGAGACACGGCCCAGACUCCUACGGGAGGCAGGAGUGGGGAAUAUUGGACAGUGGGCGAAAGCCUGAUCCAGCACUGCCGCGUGAGUGAUGAAGGCCUUAGGGUUGUAAAGCUCUUUUACCCGGGAUGAUAAUGACAGUACCGGGAGAAUAAGCUCCGGCUAACUCCGUG
This 433-nucleotide ribosomal RNA is filed under the name uncultured bacterium. RNAcentral's name for it is "partial 16S ribosomal RNA". It matches the Rfam family "Bacterial small subunit ribosomal RNA", at positions 29 to 507 of the family's 1533-position model. The record is from RNAcentral.